Molecule: ribosomal RNA, 263 nt
Filed under: uncultured bacterium
Lineage: Bacteria
Description: partial 16S ribosomal RNA
Rfam family: Bacterial small subunit ribosomal RNA
Source: RNAcentral
CCUAGUGGCGGACGGGUGAGUAACGCGUGGGUAACCUGCCUUACACAGGGGGAUAACACUUAGAAAUAGGUGCUAAUACCGCAUGAGCGCACAGGACCGCAUGGUCGAGUGUGAAAAACUGAGGUGGUGUAAGAUGGACCCGCGUCUGAUUAGCUAGUUGGUGAGGUAACGGCCCACCAAGGCGACGAUCAGUAGCCGGCCUGAGAGGGUGGACGGCCACAUUGGGACUGAGACACGGCCCAAACUCCUACGGGAGGCAGCAG